CAGCAGCCGCGGGAAUACGGAGGGGGCUAGCGUUGUUCGGAAUUACUGGGCGUAAAGCGCACGUAGGCGGCUUUGUAAGUUAGAGGUGAAAGCCCGGAGCUCAACUCCGGAAUUGCCUUUAAGACUGCAGAGCUAGCAGGUGAGAGAGGUGAGUGGAAUUCCGAGUGUAGAGGUGAAAUUCGUAGAUAUUCGGAAGAACACCAGUGGCGAAGGCGGCUCACUGGCUCAUACUGGACGCUGAGGUGCGAAAGCGUGGGGAGCAAACAGGAUUAGAUACCCCAGUAGUCCCUGUCUCUUAUAA
This 301-nucleotide ribosomal RNA is filed under the name uncultured bacterium. RNAcentral's name for it is "partial 16S ribosomal RNA". It matches the Rfam family "Bacterial small subunit ribosomal RNA", at positions 509 to 809 of the family's 1533-position model. The record is from RNAcentral.